UACGUAGGGUGCGAGCGUUGUCCGGAAUUAUUGGGCGUAAAGGGCUCGUAGGCGGUUUGUCGCGUCGGGAGUGAAAACCUCGGGCUUAACUCGGGGCUUGCUUUCGAUACGGGCAGACUGGAGGUAUGCAGGGGAGAACGGAAUUCCUGGUGUAGCGGUGAAAUGCGCAGAUAUCAGGAGGAACACCGGUGGCGAAGGCGGGAUCCUGGGCCAGUACUGACGCUGAGGAGCGAAAGCGUGGGGAGCAAACAGG
RNAcentral lists this ribosomal RNA (253 nucleotides) under uncultured bacterium. RNAcentral describes it as "partial 16S ribosomal RNA". It matches the Rfam family "Bacterial small subunit ribosomal RNA", at positions 524 to 776 of the family's 1533-position model. The record is from RNAcentral.